RNAcentral lists this long non-coding RNA (489 nucleotides) under Chinchilla lanigera (long-tailed chinchilla). RNAcentral's name for it is "lncRNA (ENSCLAG00000027611.1)". The record is from RNAcentral. Lineage: Eukaryota; Metazoa; Chordata; Mammalia; Rodentia; Chinchillidae.
UUUCUCUAGUGGCCAGCAACGUUGAACAUUUCUUGCUGGGACCAAAGGAUAUGAACUAAUAUUUUACUACUCUGGAGAGCAGGGUGUGUGACUGGGGUCCCGUGGUCCUGAGGCUGGUGUGACCUUGCUUUAGGAACAGACAAGUACGCGGAAGGCUGCCUGGCUCCUGGCUGUGCAGAGGAGGCAACCACAGCAUCCCUAAGGCAAGAUAACAUCUGCAGAGGACAAUCUGAAGAAUGUGGGUGUAUCGAGAGGGAGAAGGACUUGUUCUCCACUAGCUUGUUCCCUACCCACUGCAGUUCCUGUCCCAUCAAACACACACCAUCCCUUCUGCUGAGUGCCUCGCAGGCUAGGAAAAAUGUGAGUCCUCUGUCUGAGGGACUUCAUUUGUCUUUUGAGGAAAGCAGCUGGAUCCGAUUUGUUGAGGACUGUCCCACCCCACCCCCCGGUCAGGCCUCUGGCCUAGGACUCUGGUAACAACUGCUCUUC